RNAcentral lists this long non-coding RNA (632 nucleotides) under Olea europaea subsp. europaea. The record is from RNAcentral. Lineage: Eukaryota; Viridiplantae; Streptophyta; Magnoliopsida; Lamiales; Oleaceae.
CCCGACUUCCUAAACCCAAAACCAAAUCUACAGCCACCUCGUCAACAUCGUCGCCAACCAGUCUACAGUCGCUGCCCUUCACAAAACACCACCAUAAAUGGCAAACUCUUCUUUAACAGCAUCAAACUAUACUCUACGCAUCAUCGAAAAAUUUGAAGAUACGAGGUUGUCAGGUUGAUGAAUUUAUGGAAAGCAAAUUAAUUGCAGCUCUCUGUCCAUGUGUUUUUUGCUUCAUUCCUUCACUCAUAAUAGUCACUAUUGUGCUUAUUGUGAAAUGUAUUUUUCCAUACCCCUCUUAACUCUGUCCUCUUCAAAAUAUCUUGCAAUUAGCCCCACUUUGAUAGCUGAAAUUUCUCUCCAGUGACCCAAUCCUAGUAUUUCGUUGUAUUUCUUGAGUAAAUUUAGAUUCCUAUUGCCGAGUCCCCAGAAGCCCUUCACAUGAUUAACCUUAAAAAAAUUAAAAUUAAAUUAAAUUUGAUACCAACAAUAAAUCUGAACUAAAUUGAAAUUUAAUCCCAGAAGCCCAAACAACGAACACAUACAUGAACUUAACUGAAAUUUAAAACAAAGAAAUUAUAAAUUCAAACCUGUACAAUGAGGGCGUUCCGCAUUCGGUCGUUCAGGAGCUUCGG